This 514-nucleotide ribosomal RNA is filed under the name uncultured bacterium. RNAcentral describes it as "bacterial SSU rRNA". It matches the Rfam family "Bacterial small subunit ribosomal RNA", at positions 791 to 1301 of the family's 1533-position model. The record is from RNAcentral.
UAGUCCAUGCCGUAAACGAUGGAUACUAGUCGUCGGGACACCUAAUUGUUUCGGUGACGUCGCUAACGCGUUAAGCACUCCGCCUGGGGAGUACGGUCGCAAGAUUAAAACUCAAAGGAAUUGACGGGGACCCGCACAAGCGGUGGAGCAUGUGGUUUAAUUCGAGGCAACGCGAAGAACCUUACCAGUCCUUGACAUCCUAAUCGCGGUUUGUAGAGAUACAUUCCUUCAGCUCGGCUGGAUUAGUGACAGGUGCUGCAUGGCUGUCGUCAGCUCGUGUCGUGAGAUGUCGGGUUAAGUCCCGCAACGAGCGCAACCCUCACCCUUUGUUACCAGCGGUUCGGCCGGGAACUCUAAGGGAACUGCCCGUGAUAAACGGGAGGAAGGUGGGGAUGACGUCAAGUCAGCACGGCCCUUACGGACUGGGCCACACACGUGCUACAAUGGUGGCAACAAUGGGCAGCGACCUCGCGAGGGGAAGCUAAUCUCCAAAUGCCAUCUCAGUCCGGAUUGG